This 497-nucleotide ribosomal RNA is filed under the name uncultured bacterium. RNAcentral describes it as "partial 16S ribosomal RNA". It matches the Rfam family "Bacterial small subunit ribosomal RNA", at positions 28 to 507 of the family's 1533-position model. The record is from RNAcentral.
GAUGAACGCUGGCGGCGUGCCUAAUACAUGCAAGUCGAGCGAACAGACGAGGAGCUUGCUCCUCUGACGUUAGCCGCGGACGUGUGAGUAACACGUGGAUAACCUACCUAUAAGACUGGGAUAACUUCGGGAAACCGGAUCUAAUACCGGAUAAUAUAUUGAACCGCAUGGUUCAAUAGUGAAAGACGGUUUUGCUGUCACUUAUAGAUGGAUCCGCGCCGCAUUAGCUAGUUGUUAAGGUAACGGCUUACCAAGGCAACGAUGCGUAGCCGACCUGAGAGGGUGAUAGGCCACACUGGAGCUGAGACACGGUCCAGACUCCUACGGGAGGCAGCAGUAGGGAAUCUUACGCAAUGGGCGAAAGCCUGACGGAGCAACGCCGCGUGAGUGAUGAAGGUCUUCGGAUCGUAAAACUCUGUUAUUAGGGAAGAACAAAUGUGUAAGUAUCUAUGCACGUCUUGACGGUACCUAAUCAGAAAGCAACGGCUAACUACGUG